This 253-nucleotide ribosomal RNA is filed under the name uncultured bacterium. Its description in RNAcentral is "partial 16S ribosomal RNA". It matches the Rfam family "Bacterial small subunit ribosomal RNA", at positions 524 to 776 of the family's 1533-position model. The record is from RNAcentral.
UACGAAGGGGGCUAGCGUUGUUCGGAAUUACUGGGCGUAAAGCGUGCGCAGGCGGUUGUGCAAGACCGAUGUGAAAUCCCCGGGCUCAACCUGGGAAUGGCAUUGGUGACUGCACGGCUAGAGUGUGUCAGAGGGGGGUAGAAUUCCACGUGUAGCAGUGAAAUGCGUAGAGAUGUGGAGGAAUACCGAUGGCGAAGGCAGCCCCCUGGGAUAACACUGACGCUCAUGCACGAAAGCGUGGGGAGCAAACAGG